This 501-nucleotide ribosomal RNA is filed under the name uncultured bacterium. Its description in RNAcentral is "partial 16S ribosomal RNA". It matches the Rfam family "Bacterial small subunit ribosomal RNA", at positions 30 to 523 of the family's 1533-position model. The record is from RNAcentral.
AUUGAACGCUGGCGGCAGGCUUAACACAUGCAAGUCGAGCGGAGAUGAGGUGCUUGCACCUUAUCUUAGCGGCGGACGGGUGAGUAAUGCUUAGGAAUCUGCCUAUUAGUGGGGGACAACAUUCCGAAAGGAAUGCUAAUACCGCAUACGUCCUACGGGAGAAAGCCGGGGAUCUUCGGACCUUGCGCUAAUAGAUGAGCCUAAGUCGGAUUAGCUAGAUGGUGGGGUAAAGGCCUACCAAGGCGACGAUCUGUAGCGGGUCUGAGAGGAUGAUCCGCCACACUGGGACUGAGACACAGCCCAGACGCCUACGGGAGGCAGCAGUGGGGAAUAUUGGACAAUGGGGGGAACCCUGAUCCAGCCAUGCCGCGUGUGUGAAGAAGGCCUUAUGGUUGUAAAGCACUUUAAGCGAGGAGGAGGCUACUGAGACUAAUACUCUUGGAUAGUGGACGUUACUCGCAGAAUAAGCACCGGCUAACUCUGUGCCAGCAGCCGCAGUAA